UCCUACGGGAGGCAGCAGUAGGGAAUCUUCCGCAAUGGACGAAAGUCUGACGGAGCAACGCCGCGUGAGUGAUGAAGGCUUUCGGGUCGUAAAACUCUGUUGUUAGGGAAGAACAAGUGCUAGUUGAAUAAGCUGGCACCUUGACGGUACCUAACCAGAAAGCCACGGCUAACUACGUGCCAGCAGCCGCGGUAAUACGUAGGUGGCAAGCGUUAUCCGGAAUUAUUGGGCGUAAAGCGCGCGCAGGUGGUUUCUUAAGUCUGAUGUGAAAGCCCAUGGCUCAACCGUGGAGGGUCAUUGGAAACUGGGAGACUUGAGUGCAGAAGAGGAAAGUGGAAUUCCAUGUGUAACGGUGAAAUGCGUAGAGAUAUGGAGGAACACCAGUGGCGAAGGCAACUUUCUGGUCUGUAACUGACACUGAGGCGCGAAAGCGUGGGGAGCAAACAGGAUUAGAUACCCUGGUAGUCCACGCCGUAAACGAUGAGUGCUAAGUGUUAGAGGGUUUCCGCCCUUUAGUGCUGAAGUUAACGCAUUAAGCACUCCGCCUGGGGAGUACGGCCGCAAGGCGGAAACUCAAAUGAAUUGACGG
Molecule: ribosomal RNA, 589 nt
Filed under: uncultured bacterium
Lineage: Bacteria
Description: bacterial SSU rRNA
Rfam family: Bacterial small subunit ribosomal RNA
Source: RNAcentral